Molecule: long non-coding RNA, 1029 nt
Organism: Canis lupus familiaris (dog)
Lineage: Eukaryota; Metazoa; Chordata; Mammalia; Carnivora; Canidae
Exons: 5
Source: RefSeq, a predicted model, not a curated record
UGCAUGUGAUCCUCUAGCCACUCAACAAACAUGUGCUGAGAAUGUUAGGCUACAUACCAAACAUUAAAAACACAUAUGUGAUUAACACACAGCUGAUGUCAUCAAUGGGCUCACCUUCAGCAAAGGAAACAGGCACUUGAGUGGAGAACAUGGCAAGAGCAAGAACAGUGGCUCAUUAAACCAGGGAACUUGGUGCCUAGCUCUGCCUAAUUUGAUCCUCAUGCAAGAGCCUUGCUGACCUUUGGGUUGUCCAGUUGCUGGCAUGCUGUUCACAGACCCCUGAGAUUACAUUGGACCCAUUUGGAUAAUCCAGGAUAAUCUUCCCUUCUCAAGAUCCUUGGUUUAAUCACAUCCACAGAGUCCUUUUCAUCAUAGAAGAGUUCUACAUAAACGUUGAUAGAGAUAGGAAGAGACGAAGCAUAUGGAAGUGUCACAGGGAAGGUUCUUCCAUCAAGAAGGCAGAUCUAAACUUAGAUGUUGGAUGAUGAUGGAAAAAUACAGCAUAGUAAGCCCUUCCUCUUCUGACAGAGUGCCAAUUUGUGACUCUCUUGGAUUGAUGAGAAACUCUGAUCUCAGAACCUCUGUAAACUCUCUUGCUUUUUAUUUCCUAUGCUUCAGACUCAAAAAUUACAUUGUCUUCAGUUAUUCUUUCAAGGAAGAUACAAGAGGCUACAAAGGAAAAAAAGAUGCAGGAAUGGGGAAAUCAGAAAGUACCAUCAAAGUCAUUGUAAAGCAAGUACAUAUAUAUAACAUACAUCCAGACACACAUAUUUAUAUAGAAACGACAGUGAAGUGAUAACAAUAAAAAGAGCUCCUCAAGCUUCUAAACAUGGAAUAAGAUACUAAAGUACAUCUACUUUCAUAUUAUAUUCCUUCCAGCAGCUCUGAACUUUAUGUGGUUCCCUAUACAUACUAUCUAUAGUCAUGAUACCCCCAAUGCUUAAUACUUACCCCCACUUUCUCCUCAAAUAACUCUUACUUGAGCUUUAACGCUCAGUUUUAGUGAAACUGAAGGCACUGAUAAGUAAA